CCUACGGGAGGCAGCAGUGAGGAAUAUUGGUCAAUGGGCGGAAGCCUGAACCAGCCAAGCAGCGUGCAGGAUGACGGCCCUACGGGUUGUAAACUGCUUUUAUACGGGAAUAACGCGCCUUACGUGUAGGGCUUUGCAUGUACCGUAUGAAUAAGGACCGGCUAAUCCCGUCCCAGAAGCCGCGGUAAUACGGAAGGUCCGGGCGUUAUCCGGAUUGAUUGGGUUUAAAGGGAGCGGAGGCCGGAGGUUAAGUGUGGUGUGAAAUGUCCGGGCUCAACCCGGGCCUUGCAGCGCGAACUGGCGUGCUUGAGUCCGCGGAAGGCAGGCGGAAUUCGUGGUGUAGCGGUGAAAUGCGUAGAGAUGACGAAGAACCCCGAUUGCGAAGGCAGCUUGCUGCAGCGGAACUGACGCUGAGGCUCGAAAGCGCGGGGAUCGAACAGGAUUAGAUACCCCAGUAGUC
RNAcentral lists this ribosomal RNA (460 nucleotides) under uncultured bacterium. RNAcentral describes it as "partial 16S ribosomal RNA". It matches the Rfam family "Bacterial small subunit ribosomal RNA", at positions 338 to 795 of the family's 1533-position model. The record is from RNAcentral.